GGUAGUGUGGCCGAGAUAGGUGGCGAGUUGUAGCCUCGUUAACAGGGAGUACCCCUUACUGCCA
This 64-nucleotide transfer RNA is filed under the name Geckolepis petiti. RNAcentral describes it as "tRNA-Tyr". Lineage: Eukaryota; Metazoa; Chordata; Lepidosauria; Squamata; Gekkonidae. The record is from RNAcentral.